GGUGACUCAGUGGUAGAGUGCUUGCCUUGCAUGCAUGAGGUCCUGGGUUCGAUUCCUUAGCACCA
This 65-nucleotide transfer RNA is filed under the name Dipodomys ordii (Ord's kangaroo rat). It matches the Rfam family "tRNA". From Rfam's summary of the family: Transfer RNA (tRNA) molecules are approximately 80 nucleotides in length. Their secondary structure includes four short double-helical elements and three loops (D, anti-codon, and T loops). Further hydrogen bonds mediate the characteristic L-shaped molecular structure. tRNAs have two regions of fundamental functional importance: the anti-codon, which is responsible for specific mRNA codon recognition, and the 3' end, to which the tRNAs corresponding amino acid is attached (by aminoacyl-tRNA synthetases). tRNAs cope with the degeneracy of the genetic code in two manners: having more than one tRNA (with a specific anti-codon) for a particular amino acid; and 'wobble' base-pairing, i.e. permitting non-standard base-pairing at the 3rd anti-codon position. The record is from Rfam by way of RNAcentral. Lineage: Eukaryota; Metazoa; Chordata; Mammalia; Rodentia; Heteromyidae.